UGCUCAGAAAUGUUCACAUUUGUGGUGUCUGAAAGUCAUUCUUUGGCUGAUGUGACUGUGAUAAUGAUUAUCAUUAACAUAAAAUCUGUUUUCUUUUCCUCUUUAAAUUUUCGACAGGCCCAGAUCGGUGUACCGACCUCUGAACCCUCUGGCUCCGAGCAGAGGAGACGACGACGGAGAAGGUUUCUACAAGUGGCUGGAAGGUGAGUGUUCCCUCCUGUUCCCU
This is a non-coding RNA of Plectropomus leopardus (leopard coralgrouper), 226 nucleotides long. The record is from RefSeq and is a predicted model, not a curated record. Lineage: Eukaryota; Metazoa; Chordata; Actinopteri; Perciformes; Serranidae.